Molecule: long non-coding RNA, 656 nt
Organism: Capsicum annuum
Lineage: Eukaryota; Viridiplantae; Streptophyta; Magnoliopsida; Solanales; Solanaceae
Exons: 2
Source: RefSeq, a predicted model, not a curated record
UCUAGUAAUUGCUUGAGAAAUUUCCUUUGUUCCUACCCUUUCUUUUUUCUCCUUCCAAGUCAACGCACUUGCUUGCGUUGUAGUAUCUCUACACACGCUGCUCAAAAUUCAUAUAAAUACUCCCAAAGGCAUUGAGCUAGUAAUUCAAGUUCUAAAAUUAAAGCUCUCAAAAUUGUUAGUACUACCUAUUAAUUCUUAUAGAAAGUUUUGCAAUAUGGCAGCAGUGCUGUCCAACAUCUCCAUAAGGUCCAUAGUGAUUACACUUAUGAUCUAUGCUAUUUUCUUAUCUCCCUUCCUACUAUGGUCCUGCGAUGCAUCCCGAGAACUCAAAGCGAACAAGUUUCCCGUUGCAUGUCUUCAUUGUGUGGGGUGUUGUGAACCAACACCCCCGGGUACCUGUUGCACCCGCUGUGGUUGUUGAAGUUUGAUCUUCUUUACAUGUCAGAACUAUAGAACAAGUUUAAUUUGAUCAACAAUUGGUGUAUCUUUGAGUCAUAUAUAUAUAUACAUACAUGUUAUACAAUAAAGAAGGAACUUAUUGGUUUGUUUAGAUUAAGACAUUAAGUAUAGGAUUGCUCUGCGUAACCUGUGGGAAACAUGACUGCGUUUGUAAUGUUUUGAAUUUUAAGUGAUCAAUAAAAUUUUGAGAAGAAAAA